RNAcentral lists this ribosomal RNA (820 nucleotides) under uncultured Rhodopseudomonas sp. RNAcentral's name for it is "bacterial SSU rRNA". It matches the Rfam family "Bacterial small subunit ribosomal RNA", at positions 43 to 911 of the family's 1533-position model. The record is from RNAcentral. Lineage: Bacteria; Pseudomonadati; Pseudomonadota; Alphaproteobacteria; Hyphomicrobiales; Nitrobacteraceae.
CUCGGCGGCUACCAUGCAAGUCGAACGGGCGUAGCAAUACGUCAGUGGCAGACGGGUGAGUAACGCGUGGGAACGUACCUUUUGGUUCGGAACAACUGAGGGAAACUUCAGCUAAUACCGGAUAAGCCCUUACGGGGAAAGAUUUAUCGCCGAAAGAUCGGCCCGCGUCUGAUUAGCUAGUUGGUGAGGUAAUGGCUCACCAAGGCGACGAUCAGUAGCUGGUCUGAGAGGAUGAUCAGCCACAUUGGGACUGAGACACGGCCCAAACUCCUACGGGAGGCAGCAGUGGGGAAUAUUGGACAAUGGGGGCAACCCUGAUCCAGCCAUGCCGCGUGAGUGAUGAAGGCCCUAGGGUUGUAAAGCUCUUUUGUGCGGGAAGAUAAUGACGGUACCGCAAGAAUAAGCCCCGGCUAACUUCGUGCCAGCAGCCGCGGUAAUACGAAGGGGGCUAGCGUUGCUCGGAAUCACUGGGCGUAAAGGGUGCGUAGGCGGGUUUCUAAGUCAGAGGUGAAAGCCUGGAGCUCAACUCCAGAACUGCCUUUGAUACUGGAAGUCUUGAGUAUGGCAGAGGUGAGUGGAACUGCGAGUGUAGAGGUGAAAUUCGUAGAUAUUCGCAAGAACACCAGUGGCGAAGGCGGCUCACUGGGCCAUUACUGACGCUGAGGCACGAAAGCGUGGGGAGCAAACAGGAUUAGAUACCCUGGUAGUCCACGCCGUAACGAUGAAUGCCAGCCGUUAGUGGGUUUACUCACUAGUGGCGCAGCUAACGCUUUAAGCAUUCCGCCUGGGGAGUACGGUCGCAGAUUAAACUCAAGGAAUG